GAUGAACGCUGGCGGCGUGCCUAAUACAUGCAAGUCGAACGAGGUGCUUGAGUAGCAAUACAAGAGUAUCCUAGUGGCGAACGGGUGAGUAACGCGUGGGUGACCUGCCCCGAAGUGUGGGAUAACAGUCCGAAAGGAUUGCUAAUACCUCAUGUGGUUAUCGGAUUUAGAAACUGAUAACUAAAGCAGCAAUGCGCUUUGGGAGGGACCUGCGUCCCAUCAGCUAGUUGGUGAGGUAAUGGCUCACCAAGGCUACGACGGGUAGGGGACCUGAGAGGGUGGCCCCCCACAAUGGAACUGAAACACGGUCCAUACACCUACGGGUGGCAGCAGUAGGGAAUAUUGCACAAUGGGCGAAAGCCUGACGCAGCCAUGCCGCGUGUGUGAAGAAGGCC
Molecule: ribosomal RNA, 395 nt
Filed under: uncultured bacterium
Lineage: Bacteria
Description: bacterial SSU rRNA
Rfam family: Bacterial small subunit ribosomal RNA
Source: RNAcentral